RNAcentral lists this ribosomal RNA (374 nucleotides) under uncultured organism. RNAcentral describes it as "partial 16S ribosomal RNA". It matches the Rfam family "Bacterial small subunit ribosomal RNA", at positions 527 to 896 of the family's 1533-position model. The record is from RNAcentral.
GUAGGUGGCAAGCGUUGUCCGGAAUUAUUGGGCGUAAAGCGCGCGCAGGCGGUUCUUUAAGUCUGAUGUGGAAGCCCACGGCUCAACCGUGGAGGGUCAUUGGAAACUGGAGAACUUGAGUACAGAAGAGGAAAGCGGAAUUCCACGUGUAGCGGUGAAAUGCGUAGAGAUGUGGAGGAACAUCAGUGGCGAAGGCGGCUUUCUGGUCUGUAACUGACGCUGAGGCGCGAAAGCGUGGGGAGCAAACAGGAUUAGAUACCCUGGUAGUCCACGCCGUAAACGAUGAGUGCUAAGUGUUAGGGGGGUUUUCCGCCCCCCUUAGUGCUGCAGCUAACGCAUUAAGCACUCCGCCUGGGAGUACGGCCGCAAGGCUG